This 201-nucleotide long non-coding RNA is filed under the name Homo sapiens (human). RNAcentral describes it as "HSALNT0255786". Lineage: Eukaryota; Metazoa; Chordata; Mammalia; Primates; Hominidae. The record is from RNAcentral.
GCACAGACUUACAGGGGUGUGUAUGCAUGCACCUGUGGACCCACAUACACAAGUUAUGUAAAGGCAUGCACCCAAUGGACCUAUAUACACGUGCACAUUUUUCAGGAUUGUGUGUAGGUGCACAUGUGGGCACAUGUAUGGUCCAGAACCAUGUCCACGCUUGGUAUUUCAUGCUGCUUUCCCUGCCCUCCACUGGGGAUG